Molecule: long non-coding RNA, 2027 nt
Organism: Diorhabda sublineata
Lineage: Eukaryota; Metazoa; Arthropoda; Insecta; Coleoptera; Chrysomelidae
Exons: 3
Source: RefSeq, a predicted model, not a curated record
UGAAUGUCUGGAACGCCAUUACUCUUUCAUUUCUUUUUAUUUGCAAGUUUCUGUGUAAUCUUUACUGUGAUUGGUGGGGAGAGAGAUAUAUUCGAGGUCGAAAGUUCAUUUUGAUUUUAAACUAAACAAAAAUUAACCGUCUCAGAAAGUUUAGAGAGGUUCAGUCAGUUGCAGUUGCUGGACGUGAAAAUUUAAGAUCAAGUGAGUCAUCCGGCAUUGAGACAAUAGAAUUUCAGAAUUACAUCGAAAAUUAAAAAAAUUUAUAAUGACUUCUACUAGUUUCAACGUUGGUUUAAUCGAAAAAAAAAAUUCCAGCAGAGUUCUCAAGCCGCCAGGUGGUGGACAUACCGACAUUUUCGGCAUUAACUCUGAUACCGAAAUUGUUACUCCUAGCAAGAAAAGAAACAUUCCUCCAACUACUAUUACAAGCUGUUUCACUGAAGAAGUUGACUCUAGGGAAAAAUACCAACCAAAUAAUAAUCUAGAAAAAGCAGAAAAUGGUGAACAAAAUGGAAAUGCAAAUAUUGUUGAUGAAAAUACCGAACCUGCUCAUGAUAAUAAAGAAGAUGAAAAGAAAAAUGGACAAGAAGCUCCUAAAAAAACUAGAGUACCUCCAGGAGGUUUCUCAUCUAUUCUCUGGUAAUUUUUUAAAUUUAUACAGUGUGAUCAAAAUUUUAUCUUUAUAUUUAAAUGAGUUUUAGUUUAAACAAAAAACUUUCAAGUGCAGUUAGUAAGUACUCAGUCUUUCUAUGAAAGUAUAAAAAGUGCCACAAAUAAUCAAUAUUUUGUCUUCACUGAUAAGCUGUAUUAAGUUUCAAUUUAUAAAAGCAAUUACCCAGAAUGUUCAAACCUGGAAAGUGCAAAAAUACAGAUUAGUAUAUAAAUAAUUGAAGUAGAUUAAAUAAUUAUGUGAAAUUAUUAUGUAUUUAUGCACUUUGAUACUGAUUUUUGAUACUCUUAAAUAACUUAUAUUAUUUUUCAAUCAGAUUCAUAUAAUUAUACAUUUGUCGCAUGCUUUCCCUAAUGGAUGGAAUCUUAAAUUUCUUAUUCUAUAAAAAGGCUGAUAAUUUUGUAAUAAAUUAUGAAUUUAAAUAAAUUUGUUGUAUUUCUUAUUCCCCAAAGUAGCUGUUCCUACAUGUGGAUGUACAUUAAAGGAUAGUUUUUAACCUAAAUAUUUGUAAUUAAACUUGUUUUCUCAAAAUUAAAAAUUGUGAACCUUCAAUCAAUCCAAAUAGUUUUGUUUUACAUACUCAUGUUUAUCAUUUUGAUACUGAACUUUCAUUAAUAACAUCAAACUUUUUUUAAUAAAAAAUUUGGUAAGACUAGUGAUGAUUUCUUGAAGAAUCGGCAAAAUAUUAUUGGAUAAAAGAUUAGUUGUCUUUAUGUGUUUAUUCCUACAUUGUUUCUUACUAAAUCAAAGGAAGGGGAAAAGGGUUUGCAUUUGUUAUUAGAAAUUUUGAUUGUUUGCCUUCAGCUCUUGACUUUACUUUGAAUAACAAGGAUCAUUUUUAUUAAUUUAUAUAGAAUUGAAAUUUAUUAGUAUGCAUCAAAAAAAUCUACUCUCAACAAGUUCUAACUAAAAUUAGAAGCACAAAGUAAUGCAAAUAUGUCCAAGUAUCAUGGAUAGGUAGAAAUAAUUUCCUAGCUGUUUUAAUACAUUUUUAGAAAUAUCGAGGUGAUUGACCUAUUGUUUCCAAACAAAUGCAUAAACAGUUUUAACAAAUCUUUAUAAAUAGUAAUAAUACAUUCCUAUUUAAUUGAAGGUUACUAAGCGUUCAAGGUUAUGGCUUCUUGGGUUUCAAGGUUGACUUUACAGACAAACAAAUGAACAGACACGCAAUUUUUUGAAUAUAUAAUUAGUAACAUAGUAUGCAGUGAAUGUUUUCAGAAUAAUACAAAAUAAGUGUGAUAUUUCAUAGUCAAAAUUUUUUAUUCAAGUGGGCAUUUAUUCCUAUAAAUAAAGUUUUAAUUUGAACAGAUAUAGAAAUGUUGAUUUUUAUAAUAAAAUUAGUGACUCAGAAAUUUGG